CACGUAGGGGGCAAGCGUUGUCCGGAUUUAUUGGGCGUAAAGAGCUCGUAGGCGGUUCGGUAAGUCGGGUGUGAAACCUCCAGGCUCAACCUGGAGACGCCACCCGAUACUGCUGUGACUAGAGUCCGGUAGGGGAGCGUGGAAUUCCUGGUGUAGCGGUGAAAUGCGCAGAUAUCAGGAGGAACACCGGUGGCGAAGGCGGUUCUCUGGGAAUAUCCUGACGCUGAGGAGCGAAAGUGUGGGGAGCGAACAGG
RNAcentral lists this ribosomal RNA (254 nucleotides) under uncultured bacterium. RNAcentral's name for it is "partial 16S ribosomal RNA". It matches the Rfam family "Bacterial small subunit ribosomal RNA", at positions 524 to 776 of the family's 1533-position model. The record is from RNAcentral.